AUGUUUAAUAUCUUGGAUACAUAUUGUCUUGUGGUUAAUUAAAGAUAUUGGUUUAUAAAUUAAACCAUGAGGCCACCCUUAUCAUUCAUUUCAACAAACAAAAUUUCAUUUCUUUCUUUCCUUCUUUGAUGCUCUCGGCCGAAUACCAUAGUCCACCCACCAACACUUUCAAUUUUCCAUCUUGCCAUCCCACAUACAUAUCAAGGUGCUAGAGUUCACAUAAGGAGACCCGGUGCUUACGGAAUCGCAAGGACCUCACCACAACGCCAUUAACCACCUAUUUUUCGUCUAGUUUCUUCCCUAGCCUCGAGCUAGUAUCUACUAAAAAUAAUAAACUUGGUGGUUAAUGAAUGAAUGUUACGACGUUAAAUAAGCAAACCCGGUGAAGUUUACGACGCACAGGAACGCAAAGUUGUAACUAGGAUGGAUGUGCGCGGGGUCUCACUUAUGCUCGUGGAUGUCGCUUGUGUUUGUCUUUAAAUAAAGUGUAAACCUUUUAAGACAAUGUUUUAUGUUAACUCGCGAUGUAAACGCUAA
This 537-nucleotide long non-coding RNA is filed under the name Helianthus annuus (common sunflower). The record is from RNAcentral. Lineage: Eukaryota; Viridiplantae; Streptophyta; Magnoliopsida; Asterales; Asteraceae.